AUUUAUCUAAUAUAAUAAGUAUAUUUGACUUCCAAUCAAAAAGUUUGAUUAACAAGAUAAAUA
This 63-nucleotide transfer RNA is filed under the name Cryptocercus sp. 1 ZQW-2021c. RNAcentral describes it as "tRNA-Gly". Lineage: Eukaryota; Metazoa; Arthropoda; Insecta; Blattodea; Cryptocercidae. The record is from RNAcentral.